CACCACUGGGACUGGAGACACUUUGAUCUUAGCCAAAAGGCCGCUGGUCUGGCCUUUUUGGGAACGCUGGAUCGGCGACGACUUAGAUCUAAAACGGUUUGGAAUUUUUUCGCCGAUCGCUCAGGGGUCCUAUUCAUUUGUUGCAGUAGGAGCUCACCUGGAGAAUGGCAAACUUUUGGAAUUUUCACCGAGACAGGCACUGAUAUUAUCAAGAAUCCGUCUUGACCUCCAGUUUGAUGAUGCUCCAAAAUUUUACCCGGAUCGUAUGUAUUAAACUUGAACUAAUUUUCUUCUGCAACCUAUGCUACUCGUCGCCGUUACAUUGAUAUUACCAAGACGCCAUGCUCAUCACGGGGGCAACAUUCGUAACUUAUUUGGGCACGCUGGGUGGAC
This is a long non-coding RNA of Folsomia candida, 393 nucleotides long. RefSeq lists it as uncharacterized. The record is from RefSeq and is a predicted model, not a curated record. The transcript is spliced from 3 exons. Lineage: Eukaryota; Metazoa; Arthropoda; Collembola; Entomobryomorpha; Isotomidae.